RNAcentral lists this ribosomal RNA (550 nucleotides) under uncultured bacterium. RNAcentral's name for it is "bacterial SSU rRNA". It matches the Rfam family "Bacterial small subunit ribosomal RNA", at positions 355 to 896 of the family's 1533-position model. The record is from RNAcentral.
UAGGGAAUCUUCGGCAAUGGACGGAAGUCUGACCGAGCAACGCCGCGUGAGUGAAGAAGGUUUUCGGAUCGUAAAGCUCUGUUGUAAGAGAAGAACGAGUGUGAGAGUGGAAAGUUCACACUGUGACGGUAUCUUACCAGAAAGGGACGGCUAACUACGUGCCAGCAGCCGCGGUAAUACGUAGGUCCCGAGCGUUGUCCGGAUUUAUUGGGCGUAAAGCGAGCGCAGGCGGUUAGAUAAGUCUGAAGUUAAAGGCUGUGGCUUAACCAUAGUACGCUUUGGAAACUGUUUAACUUGAGUGCAAGAGGGGAGAGUGGAAUUCCAUGUGUAGCGGUGAAAUGCGUAGAUAUAUGGAGGAACACCGGUGGCGAAAGCGGCUCUCUGGUCUGUAACUGACGCUGAGGCUCGAAAGCGUGGGGAGCGAACAGGAUUAGAUACCCUGGUAGUCCACGCCGUAAACGAUGAGUGCUAGGUGUUAGGCCCUUUCCGGGGCUUAGUGCCGCAGCUAACGCAUUAAGCACUCCGCCUGGGGAGUACGACCGCAAGGUUG